AACGCACCUUGCGCCACGUGGUAUUCCACGGGGCACGCCUGUUUGAGUGUCACGUUAACCAUCGUGCCAUGGAUGUAACAGUCUAUGGGGCGGAUUUGGACGCUUGCCGUUUCAUUACGGCUCGUCUCGAAAUGCAUUAGCAGUCUAACGACCGCGCCGCUGGUGUGAUAAUUUUCUUUGUGCCUUGGGUGCGGACGAGAGGACGGCAUAUAAUCGCCUGCAAGGGCAACACAUUUAAGCUUUGACCUCAAAUCAGGUGGGACUACCCGCUGAACUUAA
RNAcentral lists this unclassified non-coding RNA (279 nucleotides) under uncultured fungus. RNAcentral's name for it is "sequence contains ITS2". Lineage: Eukaryota; Fungi. The record is from RNAcentral.